GUACCUUCAAGCUUUGCUUGGUGUUGGGUGUUUGUCCAUUCUCUUGCAGAGGGACUCGCCUUAAAGUAAUUGGCAGCCAGUGUUUUGGUUUUGAAGCGCAGCACAAGUCGCGAUUCAACGCUAUACGCCAGCUUCCACAAGCCUUUUUCAC
Molecule: unclassified non-coding RNA, 151 nt
Filed under: Paraphoma chrysanthemicola
Lineage: Eukaryota; Fungi; Ascomycota; Dothideomycetes; Pleosporales; Phaeosphaeriaceae
Description: sequence contains ITS2
Source: RNAcentral